Regulatory RNA element from Desulfosporosinus youngiae DSM 17734, 100 nucleotides. It matches the Rfam family "Pyrrolysine insertion sequence mttB". NCBI's taxonomy places the organism in Bacteria, Bacillati, Bacillota, Clostridia, Eubacteriales, Desulfitobacteriaceae. The record is from Rfam.
UAGGCAGACAGCAAAUUAUCCGAUGCCCAGGCAGGAUAUGAAAAAACCAUGACGGCUCUGUUGCCGGCCUUGGCAGGAGUUAACCUGAUUUAUGGAAUGG